RNAcentral lists this ribosomal RNA (330 nucleotides) under uncultured Streptococcus sp. Its description in RNAcentral is "bacterial SSU rRNA". It matches the Rfam family "Bacterial small subunit ribosomal RNA", at positions 1049 to 1382 of the family's 1533-position model. Lineage: Bacteria; Bacillati; Bacillota; Bacilli; Lactobacillales; Streptococcaceae. The record is from RNAcentral.
UUGUCGUCAGCUCGUGUCGUGAGAUGUUGGUUAAGUCCGCAACGAGCGCAACCCCUAUUGUUAGUUGCCAUCAUUCAGUUGGGCACUCUAGCGAGACUGCCGGUAAUAAACCGGAGGAAGGUGGGGAUGACGUCAAAUCAUCAUGCCCCUUAUGACCUGGGCUACACACGUGCUACAAUGGUUGGUACAACGAGUUGCGAGUCGGUGACGGCGAGCUAAUCUCUUAAAGCCAAUCUCAGUUCGGAUUGUAGGCUGCAACUCGCCUACAUGAAGUCGGAAUCGCUAGUAAUCGCGGAUCAGCACGCCGCGGUGAAUACGUUCCCGGGCCUU